This 75-nucleotide transfer RNA is filed under the name Chloroflexota bacterium. RNAcentral's name for it is "Chloroflexi bacterium tRNA-Thr". It matches the Rfam family "tRNA". Rfam says of the family: Transfer RNA (tRNA) molecules are approximately 80 nucleotides in length. Their secondary structure includes four short double-helical elements and three loops (D, anti-codon, and T loops). The record is from RNAcentral. Lineage: Bacteria; Bacillati; Chloroflexota. RNAcentral also lists the same sequence under 1 other name.
GCCUCGGUAGCUCAAUGGCAGAGCAGCUGAUUUGUAAUCAGCAGGUUGUGGGUUCAACUCCCUCCCGAGGCUCCA